RNAcentral lists this ribosomal RNA (253 nucleotides) under uncultured bacterium. RNAcentral's name for it is "partial 16S ribosomal RNA". It matches the Rfam family "Bacterial small subunit ribosomal RNA", at positions 524 to 776 of the family's 1533-position model. The record is from RNAcentral.
GACAGAGGUUGCAAACGUUGUUCGGAAUUACUGGGCGUAAAGCGCACGUAGGCGGUCCGUUAAGUCAUGUGUGAAAUCCCCCGGCUCAACCGGGGAAUUGCGCCUGAUACUGGCGGGCUAGAGGUCGAUAGGGGUGAGCGGAACUCCAGGUGGAGCGGUGAAAUGCGUAGAUAUCUGGAGGAACACCGGUGGCGAAAGCGGCUCACUGGAUCGAAACUGACGCUGAGGUGCGAAAGCUAGGGUAGCAAACGGG